Molecule: ribosomal RNA, 291 nt
Filed under: uncultured archaeon
Lineage: Archaea
Description: partial 16S ribosomal RNA
Rfam family: Archaeal small subunit ribosomal RNA
Source: RNAcentral
CGGUGCUUUUUCUUCUUCGGAGGGAGAAGUAACCCGGCGGACGGCUCAGAUAACACGUGGACAACUUGCCCUUGGGACCGGGAUAACCCCUGGGAAACUGGGGCUAAUACCCGGAUAGAACAUCGGUUGCUGGAAUGCACGAUGUUCGAAAGCUGAGGCACCCAAGGAUAGGUCUGCGGCCGAUUAGGUUGUUGUUGAUGUGACGGAUCAACAAGCCUACGAUCGGUACGGGUUGUAAGAACCAAUACCCCGGAAAUGGGUUCUGAGAAAAGAACCCAGGUCCUACGGGAC